This 339-nucleotide unclassified non-coding RNA is filed under the name soil metagenome. RNAcentral describes it as "partial contains 5.8S ribosomal RNA, internal transcribed spacer 2, and large subunit ribosomal RNA". The stretch from base 1 to 120 matches the Rfam family "5.8S ribosomal RNA", at positions 35 to 154 of the family's 154-position model. The record is from RNAcentral.
GAUGAAGAACGUAGCGAAAUGCGAUAACUAAUGUGAAUUGCAGAAUUCAGUGAAUCAUCGAGUCUUUGAACGCACAUUGCGCCCCCUGGUAUUCCGGGGGGCAUGCCUGUCCGAGCGUCAUUGCUGCCCUCAAGCACGACUUGUGUGUUGGGCUCCGUCCCCCCGGGGACGGGCCCGAAAGGCAGCGGCGGCACCGAGUCCGGUCCUCGAGCGUAUGGGGCUUUGUCACCCGCUCUGUAGGCCCGGCCGGCGCCAGCCGACAACCCAUCAUCCUUUUCAGGUUGACCUCGGAUCAGGUAGGGAUACCCGCUGAACUUAAGCAUAUCAAUAAGCGGAGGA